Molecule: ribosomal RNA, 253 nt
Filed under: uncultured bacterium
Lineage: Bacteria
Description: partial 16S ribosomal RNA
Rfam family: Bacterial small subunit ribosomal RNA
Source: RNAcentral
UACGUAGGGGGCAAGCGUUGUCCGGAUUUACUGGGCGUAAAGGGCGCGUAGGCGGGCCAUCAAGUCGAGGGUGAAAGCCCCCAGCUCAACUGGGGAAGUGCCUCCGAUACUGGUGGUCUCGAGGGAGAUAGGGGCGUGCGGAACUUCCGGUGGAGCGGUGAAAUGCGUAGAUAUCGGAAGGAACACCGGUGGCGAAAGCGGCGCGCUGGAUCUCUUCUGACGCUGAGGCGCGAAAGCCAGGGGAGCGAACGGG